CGGUGGGUACGGGCAGGCUAGAGUGCGGUAGGGGAGAAUGGAACUCCUGGUGUAGCGGUGGAAUGCGCAGAUAUCAGGAAGAACACCGAUGGCGAAGGCAGUUCUCUGGGCCGUAACUGACGCUGAGGAGCGAAAGCGUGGGGAGCGAACAGGAUUAGAUACCCUGGUAGUCCACGCCGUAAACGUUGGGCGCUAGAUGUGGGGACCAUUCCACGGUUUCCGUGUCGUAGCUAACGCAUUAAGCGCCCCGCCUGGGGAGUACGGCCGCAAGGCUAAAACUCAAAGGAAUUGACGGGGGCCCGCACAAGCGGCGGAGCAUGCGGAUUAAUUCGAUGCAACGCGAAGAACCUUACCAAGGCUUGACAUAUACCGGUAACGGCCAGAGAUGGUCGCCCCCUUGUGGUCGGUAUACAGGUGGUGCAUGAAAAAUAGUCAGCUCGUGUCGUGAGAUGUUGGGUUAAGUCCCGCAACGAGCGCAACCCUCGUUCUAUGUUGCCAGCGGUUCGGCCGGGGACUCAUAGGAGACUGCCGGGGUCAACUCGGAGGAAGGUGGGGAUGACGUCAAAUCAUCAUGCCCCUUAUGUCUUGGGCUUCACGCAUGCUACAAUGGCCGGUACAAAGGGCUGCGAUGCUGUAAGGCGGAGCGAAUCCCAAAAAGCCGGUCUCAGUUCGGAUUGAGGUCUGCAACUCGACCUCAUGAAGUCGGAGUCGCUAGUAAUCGCAGAUCAGCAACGCUUCGGUGAAUACGUUCCCGGGCCUUGUACAC
RNAcentral lists this ribosomal RNA (766 nucleotides) under Gryllotalpicola sp. Its description in RNAcentral is "bacterial SSU rRNA". It matches the Rfam family "Bacterial small subunit ribosomal RNA", at positions 624 to 1388 of the family's 1533-position model. Lineage: Bacteria; Bacillati; Actinomycetota; Actinomycetes; Micrococcales; Microbacteriaceae. The record is from RNAcentral.